GUGCUUGCGCAGGCGCGGUCGGCUAUUGACUCGAGGAGCGGUUGGCGGCGGCCGUAGUUGGCGCGCGGCGGAAAGAAAGGCCGGAAGCGCCAGCACGGACGUCGCGUCCUCCCCCUCUUUCCGCUUCCCGCCCCGGUGGCCCCGGCGUCCCGUCGGCGUGGCAACCCUGUUCCCUCGCGCGCCUUUGCCGCUCCUUCGGCCGCGGAUGCAGCGCCGCGAGGAUCUCGCCGCCGCCGCCCGCCUGGGCCGGGCGCCGGGCCCCGCCGUGGCGGCCCGGCUCCAGUCGCCUCACGCGGCGGCUUCCCCGCGGCGGCCGGCUCGCGGCGGCGGCGGCGGCGGGGGAGGAGCGCGCGGGCCGCAGCCGCCGCCGCUCCUGCCGCCCUCGGCCACCAGCUCGGCCCCGCCGGCGCCCAGCGUGGCGCCCACCCCGCUGAUGCCGGGCGCCGUCUCGGCGGCCAAGAGCGAGCCCGAGAACAAGUACCUGCCCGAGCUGAUGGCCGAGAAGGACAGCCUGGACCCCUCCUUCACCCACGCCAUGCAGCUGCUGCAAGCAGAAAUUGAUAAAAUUCAAAAAGGUGAAUCAAAGAAGGAUGAAGAAGAGACCUAUCUGGACUUGUUUUCUCAUAAAAACAUGAAACUGAAGGAACGAGUUCUUAUACCGGUCAAGCAGUAUCCCAAGUUCAAUUUUGUUGGGAAGAUACUGGGCCCCCAAGGCAACACCAUCAAGCGAUUGCAGGAGGAAACUGGAGCAAAGAUUUCUGUCCUGGGGAAGGGAUCGAUGAGAGACAAGGCAAAGGAAGAAGAAUUGCGCAAAGGAGGCGAUCCAAAGUAUGCUCACUUAAAUAUGGAUCUGCAUGUUUUCAUUGAGGUCUUUGGCCCUCCUUGUGAGGCUUAUGCUCUCAUGGCCCAUGCCAUGGAAGAAGUCAAGAAGUUCCUCGUUCCGGAUAUGAUGGAUGAUAUCUGCCAGGAGCAAUUUUUGGAAUUGUCCUAUCUCAAUGGGGUGCCGGAGCCAACACGUGGCCGGGGGAUCUCUGUCCGUGGUAGGGGAGCAGUUCCCCCACCCCCACCUGUUCCUAGAGGACGCGGCGUGGGUCCUCCGCCGCCUCCCCGUGGAGCCCUUGUACGGGGUGCCCCAGUGAGGGGCGCAAUUGCAAGAGGAGCAGCUGUGAGCCGCGGAGUCCCCCCUCUCCCAGCAGUGAGGGGGGCCCCUUCCUCAAGAGCUCGCGCAGCCGGCAUUCAGAGAAUACCCCUCCCCCCUCCUGCACCAGAGACCUACGAAGAUUAUGGCUAUGACGAUGCUUAUGCUGAGCAAAGUUACGAAGGAUACGAAGGCUACUAUAGCCAGGGUCAACAGGAAACAGAAUAUUACGAUUAUGGACAUGGUGAAGCUCAAGAAUCUUAUGAGGCGUAUGGUCAAGACGACUGGAAUGGAACCAGGCCUUCUCUUAAGGCCCCCCCUGCAAGGCCAGUGAAGGGAGCCUAUCGAGAGCACCCCUACGGACGCUAUUAGAACAUUCAGCAGGGCCAAUUGCCCUUUUGAACAAACAGUUGUUUCUGAUUCUAGUGUCUCCCAGGAUUCCUCUUGCUUUACCACAACAGACAAGUAAUUGUCUCCCUGAUUUUUCUCUGGCUCCCUUUUUCUCCCACCUCCAUCCUCCCCCACCACUUGACCCUACAUUCUGCUUCUGUAUGUAGUAUUUUAAAUAAGUUAGAGUUAGAAAACUGAAUUCAACUUUUAAGUGUGUAGACUGCUUUUUCUUUCUCUGUUUAGAUAUAUAUAUAAAAAACAACAACUGUACCUUUAAAAAGAAAACUUUUGAGAUAAAAUGUUAGUUUCCAAAGUGACAUGCUUGCUUAACAGUUAUGGAAUUAAAGUUUGUUAAUCUUUAAAUUUUUUUUGUUUUGUUUUUUAGGCAACCCAUAAAAGUUCUAGUUGCAGAAUCCCAAAGUAGGCUACAUUUCAAAAUUCAGGGUUGUUUUUUUUUUAAUGAAUUAAAAUGUAACUAUAAUGAUUGCCACAGUUAAAAGCAAGGUCAGAUGUCAAAAUUUUGCCCUUAAAAGCAGAUUGCUUGAUUAAUCUUAACUUUAAACGUUAAUAGGAAGGAUCCUCCAGAACAAAUUAAAUGAUGGGGCAAGGGGUUUCCUUCAGUAGAUUUAACCUUUUUUUUAAAAAAAAAAAAAUUAGGUUUGUAGAAAGACUUCCAAUGUGGAUAUUGAAAUUUAUCCCCAAAUUCUGGGAUGCUAACAACAGAGGUUUUCAAGCGAAAGGUGUUCUUAGCUCAAUUGUGCAUGAAGAGAUUUUAAGAAAAUGGACAUCUAGCUGCUCUGUAAUUUUAUAUUGCUCUAACUGCCCAGUGUUUUGAUAUUAGGAAGUAUUAAAUAUAAGUAGCUGUGCAUUGUGUCUUUUUUUUCCCUUUAAUGAAAAGCUAACACGAGUGUUUGCAGUACAUAAUAUAGUUCAGGCUUACAAUUGGCAACAUUGUCAAGCUUUUAGUUAUUCCAGUGACAUGUUUGUGUGUCUCGACACUCGUAUUAUGUUAAAAAAGGGACAUUGCAGCUGAAAAACCAAGGAGAGAGCUUUUUUGUACAUAGAUUUGUACAUGUCCUCCCAUUUUGUUCUUGGAAGAUUAAAUGCUACUACGUGUGUAAGCUUGCCGAAAUAGGUAGCUAAAAAUUUGUCAAGAUGUCUGCAGCAGUUUGUCAAUAAAGUUCAGUCCUUUUUUUAAUCAAAGUAAAUGUGAUGAAUUGUCAUUUUUUUUUUAAUUCUGGUCAAGCAGUAAAAUAGAUUUUCCUCUUUCAAUAAAAUUUAAAUUAAUGUUAAACAACAUGGUCUGUUUUCUUAAAAAAAAAAAGACUUAAAAGCAGAAAAGAUAAAAUGGUAUACUCUGAAACUUUAAAACUUUUAUGAAGCCAAACGAGCUUAAUUUUAAAACAAAACUGUUUUUCACCCCCUGGAAGUUGAACAAGGCUUCAAGCUGCUGCAUAAAUGUUUUUGCUUUACCUUUCUUAAACCUGCUGUUCCUGGGGAAGUACUAGAUUUCAGCAUCCCCAACUUGGGGAUGGUAAGAUUCAGUCCAAUCCUUCUGGAGGGCACUGGUUAAGGAAAGCCUUUCCUUUCUCUCCCGGCUAUUGACCUUCCACCUCUAGGUAGCGAUGCUGUGCUGUCCCCUUGCAACCAGAGUUGAUUUCAAAAGGGCACAGCCCCCUCCCUUUUGUGGCUGCUUGCCCAAGGCACGUCCCCCUGGAUGUACCCUCCACCGAACGCCAGGCACGGUUGGGCCAAACCAUUGUCAAUUUGUGCAAUGUCCUAGAAAGUAAAAGUCCUUUAUACAAAAGAAAAGGGGUCUUGGAUGACCUGCCUCUUAACAGUCAAAAAUAAUGGCUUAUGCUGGGGGGCAGGCGGGCAGGUGAUUUCGCUGUGGCCCAUGACAAAGGGGCAUAAAACAGAACAUUGCAAAGCUGGCCAGUUCACACAGCCUCAGGUCACUGAAUUCCUGCCUCCAAGGAAUUUCCCUUUGGGGAAAAAAAAAAUCCAAGCCACCAUUGGCUAUAAGGCUAAUUGGCUGUUUGUCCCUGGUCUAAAACCAGAAUAGGUGGCUAUGUAAUAUUGUGGCUUGUUUCUCUGCUCCCUUCUUGGCCAUUUUUUUAAAAUUGGAUUUUCAUUGGGGAGGAACUGCUUGGGGGUGAAAAAAAAAAAUCCACUGUUACUGUCAAAUUGCUCACAGAAGUGCAUGAUUGAGGGAAAUUACUUUUAAAAACCAAAAACACAAAAAGGUUGUUAUUUUGUAGAUUGUUAUUUUAAAAAAAAUGUAAAUAACUGAAUUUUCCGCAACGGUUUGGAGUCAGCUUUCAGGGUUUAAUGUCUUGCUUGAUGAAAAGAUCGCCCCAACCCCCCUUUUAAAGGAAAAUUAUCGCAGGAGAAUUCAGGAUGUCUUAAAGCUAACAUGCACCGAAAAACUCAAAAGGUAGCGAUUGGCAGCUUGGAUGAAAAUGACAUUUGGUGAGAACAGGUUAGAUGGAGUCUUCAAAUCAAAGAAGAUGAUUUGGAAACAGCUUUUAUAAUAGAACAUAUUCUUAUCAAGUCUUGAAGAUUUCCCAAUCUUUUUCAACUCCAUAUGUACUGCACAGAACUUCAGAGAGGCUUAUUUUAUAAAUAAUGUAGUCCUUCCCAUUUAGCUUAUUUCACCAAGCUGUAAAUUUGGAAGUAUUAUAAAUUCUGGCUGACAUAAAAUGACAUUGCAGACUGAUACCUAUGCCUGUGUAAAGUGUUUCAACGAGAUCUGAAUAAUUUGGUGGUUUAUUGCUCCAUAAUUGCUCCAAUGCACUUUCAUAUUUUAAAACGGGUGUCAAACUGGACACAUCACCAGGAAACCACGCCCACCCCAUUGCCGGCAAUGGGGAAAAAGCUCCAAUAUGUCGUGCGACGUCACAUGAUGUCACAAGUUUGACAUGUCUAUUUUAAAAGAAUACACUGACUUUCUAGAAAUUCCUCUUUUUAUGGUUAUUACUGGAACAAAGAAGUGUGAUUUGGAUCUGUCUUCAUGUGCUAUGAUAGUACAUUUGAAUAAAGGUUCUUUUUUU
RNA transcript from Crotalus tigris (Tiger rattlesnake), 4581 nucleotides. It is a transcript of the gene named KH RNA binding domain containing, signal transduction associated 1, with no coding region annotated. The transcript has 11 exons. The record is from RefSeq and is a predicted model, not a curated record. NCBI's taxonomy places the organism in Eukaryota, Metazoa, Chordata, Lepidosauria, Squamata, Viperidae.